Molecule: ribosomal RNA, 253 nt
Filed under: uncultured bacterium
Lineage: Bacteria
Description: partial 16S ribosomal RNA
Rfam family: Bacterial small subunit ribosomal RNA
Source: RNAcentral
GACGUAGGGGGCCAGCGUUGCUCGGAAUUAUUGGGCGUAAAGAGCUCGUAGGCGGUUUGUCGCGUCUGCUGUGAAAGACCGGGGCUCAACUCCGGUUCUGCAGUGGGUACGGGCAGACUAGAGUGAUGUAGGGGAGACUGGAAUUCCUGGUGUAGCGGUGAAAUGCGCAGAUAUCAGGAGGAACACCGAUGGCGAAGGCAGGUCUCUGGGCAUUAACUGACGCUGAGGAGCGAAAGCAUGGGGAGCGAACAGG